Molecule: ribosomal RNA, 483 nt
Filed under: uncultured bacterium
Lineage: Bacteria
Description: partial 16S ribosomal RNA
Rfam family: Bacterial small subunit ribosomal RNA
Source: RNAcentral
GAUGAACGCUGGCGGCGUGCUUAACACAUGCAAGUCGAACGGAGUCGUCUUGGAAAUCUCUUCGGCGAUGGAAUUCUCGACUUAGUGGCGGACGGGUGAGUAACGCGUGAGCAAUCUGCUUUUUUGAGGGGGAUAACAGUCGGAAACGGCUGCUAAUCCCGCAUAAAGCAUUAAAUUCGCAUGUUUUUGAUGCCAAAGGAGCAAUCCGCUGUUAGAUGAGCUCGCGUCUGAUUAGCUAGUUGGCGGGGUAACGGCCCACCAAGGCGACGAGCAGUAGCCGGACUGAGAGGGUGAACGGCCACAUGGAGAGUGAGACACGGCCCAGACUCCUGCGGGGGGCAGGAGUGGAGAAUAGUGCGCAAUGGGGAAAACCCUGACACAGCAACGCCGCGUGAGUGAAGAAGGCCUUCGGGUUGUAAAGAUCUUUAAUCAGAGGCAAAACAAAUGACGGUACCUGAAGAAUAAGCACCGGCUAACUACGUG